GUCUCUGGAGAAUCUCAUUGAGUUGAGUGCCGAAGGUGCAAGGGUUGGGACAAACCAAACCCGAAUCUCUCAGGCAAACAGACAGAGUG
This 89-nucleotide non-coding RNA is filed under the name pig gut metagenome. RNAcentral's name for it is "Glycine riboswitch". It matches the Rfam family "Glycine riboswitch aptamer", at positions 9 to 86 of the family's 94-position model. From Rfam's summary of the family: This family represents the bacterial glycine riboswitch. Glycine riboswitches usually consist of two metabolite-binding aptamers domains with similar structures in tandem. The aptamers cooperatively bind glycine to regulate the expression of downstream genes. The record is from RNAcentral.